RNAcentral lists this ribosomal RNA (468 nucleotides) under Triticum aestivum (bread wheat). RNAcentral describes it as "partial small subunit ribosomal RNA". Lineage: Eukaryota; Viridiplantae; Streptophyta; Magnoliopsida; Poales; Poaceae. The record is from RNAcentral.
AUGAGGGUGCCUCUUUUCACAAUAUGCGAACAUAUGGGCUACUCGAGGCUUUAUGUUGUUUAUCAAUCUAAGGCACGUGAAACUUCACUGUCGUUAUUUUACAUACCAAUAUCAUUGCUUCCUCCAAUUUCAAUUGAUUUUCAUUUCUUGAUUCGUGUGUGUAUAGGACAAAGAGGAGAUAAAUUAAGUAUUGGAGAGCUUAAAACCAGCCACCCAGAACCACUCUGCCUGGAGAAAGAAGACAAUAUUUGGCAUGAUUUGCUUCAUCUACUACAGGUGACUCCGUCAGGACACCAGGAACAUGAUUGCAGUCCAGGAUACCAUACUGCAACCUCAAUCCAUCGAAUCAUCAAUCAUAGGGUAGGAAAGGCGCGCCAAGGCAUCGCCAAAGCCCAAGCCCGAGACUCCGGCCAAUCGAACUCGGCAGCCCCCGUCUUGGCGAUCUCGCGACUCUGGCCAUGUAGGUGA